GGUGGGGUUCCCGAGCGGCCAAAGGGAGCAGACUGUAAAUCUGCCGUCAUCGACUUCGAAGGUUCGAAUCCUUCCCACCACCACCA
RNAcentral lists this transfer RNA (86 nucleotides) under Salmonella enterica subsp. enterica serovar 1,4,[5],12:i:-. Its description in RNAcentral is "tRNA-Tyr". It matches the Rfam family "tRNA". From Rfam's summary of the family: Transfer RNA (tRNA) molecules are approximately 80 nucleotides in length. The record is from RNAcentral. Lineage: Bacteria; Pseudomonadati; Pseudomonadota; Gammaproteobacteria; Enterobacterales; Enterobacteriaceae.